GAUGAACGCUAGCGGCAGGCCUAACACAUGCAAGUCGAGGGGUAGAGUUAGCUUGCUAACUUGAGACCGGCGCACGGGUGCGCAACGCGUAUGCAAUCUACCUUGUACAGGGGGAUAGCCCAGAGAAAUUUGGAUUAAUACCCCAUGGUGUUUAGAAGUGGCAUCACUUUUUUACUAAAGUUCCAACGGUACAAGAUGAGCAUGCGUCCCAUUAGCUAGUUGGUAUGGUAACGGCAUACCAAGGCUAUGAUGGGUAGGGGUCCUGAGAGGGAGAUCCCCCACACUGGUACUGAGACACGGACCAGACUCCUACGGGAGGCAGCAGUGAGGAAUAUUGGUCAAUGGUCGCAAGACUGAACCAGCCAUGCCGCGUGCAGGAAGACGGUCCUAUGGAUUGUAAACUGCUUUUAUACAGGAAGAAACCCUCUCACGUGUGGGAGCUUGACGGUACUGUAUGAAUAAGCAUCGGCUAACUCCGUGCCAGCCGCCGCCGUAA
Molecule: ribosomal RNA, 496 nt
Filed under: uncultured bacterium
Lineage: Bacteria
Description: partial 16S ribosomal RNA
Rfam family: Bacterial small subunit ribosomal RNA
Source: RNAcentral